UCAUUUAAUUGCAACUUUUACAGACGUCAUGUCGUCGAAUUUACAAAAACAAUAUUUUCUUGUAAUUACUAUUUUAUUUAUUAAUAUUUUUAGAGGAGCAGCAGCGACAAAGUGUUCGUACGGCGAUGUGGUUCUUUGCGGAAGUAACGGUUUCACUUAUAAUCUUUGCGAUUUUCAAACGGCCCAAGCUGUCCGACCAAACCUGAAAUUGAAAUAUUUAGGUGCUUGCCAAAUAGAAGACUCAUUGAAAUCUUUAUUAAACCGUUUAGAUAAAACUAACUUAAGGAACAGAAAACAUCAACAAGUCCGUAAAAUAAAGAAGCCAACUAAACUAGUAUCAGAACUGUUACAACACAUCAUAAAUUCACGAACUAAAUUGAGUAGCUUCCACAAUAUUGGUAAACAUAAUAUAUGAUACAUACUGAACUGGAUGACCAAAACAGACGCAUUUCAAUUCCUACAAAAAAUAUUCAAUAAAUUAUAAAGAAAAUGUA
This is a long non-coding RNA of Pieris brassicae (large cabbage white), 494 nucleotides long. RefSeq lists it as uncharacterized. The transcript is spliced from 3 exons. The record is from RefSeq and is a predicted model, not a curated record. NCBI's taxonomy places the organism in Eukaryota, Metazoa, Arthropoda, Insecta, Lepidoptera, Pieridae.